Molecule: long non-coding RNA, 859 nt
Organism: Drosophila erecta
Lineage: Eukaryota; Metazoa; Arthropoda; Insecta; Diptera; Drosophilidae
Exons: 2
Source: RefSeq, a predicted model, not a curated record
GCAAGGCGAAUCUUCCAGAAAUCUGCCACAAUUCUUGUGCACAUUUCAUAUUGUCAGCACGUAAGGGCGGACCACGGCGAGGGCGGGAAGGACGAAGGGGCGUGGCCAUAGGCGUCAAAGUCCCGCACACCCACACAGCCACACACAUACGCUUAACACAGAUGUGUGCAUGCGGUUGUUUGCUUGUGCUGCUGGGCGCGCACAUGCAUAUGAAAACCGCUUUCGUUUCCGGAGCAAGAACGACUUGAAAAUGGCGCACGGCAUGGAGUCGCCCGCCAUUGUUGCCACCGUGCUGACUGUUGUUGCUGCCGCCAUCAGAUAGAUAGGUGCAAAAAAGUAGCAACUCCAGCUUAACAACCUCGAGGAAGGGGAUGACAAUCUGGAUGGCAGACAGGUGAAAGGGGUUGGCGGGAGAGUUGGCACCGAGAGUUGACAACAGGAUAUACAACCAAAAAAGAAAGUGAAAUGGAUGUGGAAAUGGAAAAUACAAAAUGCAAGCAAUACAGGUAUCUGGUUGUCUGGUUGCCAGCGACAACGACAACGACAACGACAACUACAGGGAUAGCGACAAGUCGACAGGACUUGCAGCCCGGACAUUAACAAUAGCAAAGUGUUUUCUUUCCAAAGGCGCUUGGCUACGAUCUGACGUUCUUAUCUUUGCCAGCCAUAUGGGCAAAGGUAGCACAGAGCCCGAAACAAGGUCAAAGGCCGUCGACGGGCGGCAGGAGCCAGCUGGACAGAGACAAAUGGAUGCAGUGAGAGUGGAAUUCAAAUGAAAAUGCAAAUGCAAAUGCGAAUUCAAACCAAACGGUGCCAGAGACAACACUGAUUAAAGGCAGCCGAGCAUAAAGAAUAAUGU